RNAcentral lists this ribosomal RNA (472 nucleotides) under uncultured bacterium. RNAcentral describes it as "bacterial SSU rRNA". It matches the Rfam family "Bacterial small subunit ribosomal RNA", at positions 8 to 507 of the family's 1533-position model. The record is from RNAcentral.
AGAGUUUGAUCAUGGCUCAGGAUGAACGCUGGCGGCGUGCCUAACACAUGCAAGUCGAGCGAUUCUCUUCGGAGAAGAGCGGCGGACGGGUGAGUAACGCGUGGGUAACCUGCCCUGUACACACGGAUAACAUACCGAAAGGUAUGCUAAUACGAGGAUAAUAUACUUUUAUCGCAUGAUAGAAGUAUCAAAGCUCCGGCGGUACAGGAUGGACCCGCGUCUGAUUAGCUAGUUGGUAAGGUAACGGCUUACCAAGGCGACGAUCAGUAGCCGACCUGAGAGGGUGAUCGGCCACAUUGGAACUGAGACACGGUCCAAACUCCUACGGGAGGCAGCAGUGGGGAAUAUUGCACAAUGGGCGAAAGCCUGAUGCAGCAACGCCGCGUGAGCGAUGAAGGCCUUCGGGUCGUAAAGCUCUGUCCUCAAGGAAGAUAAUGACGGUACUUGAGGAGGAAGCCCGGCUAACUACGUG